AUUGAACGCUGGCGGCAUGCCUUACACAUGCAAGUCGAACGGCAGCACGGGUGCUUGCACCUGGUGGCGAGUGGCGAACGGGUGAGUAAUACAUCGGAACGUACCUUAUCGUGGGGGAUAACGCAGCGAAAGCUGUGCUAAUACCGCAUACGCCCUGAGGGGGAAAGCGGGGGAUCGAAAGACCUCGCGCGAUUAGAGCGGCCGAUGCCUGAUUAGCUUGUUGGUGGGGUAAAAGCCCACCAAGGCGACGAUCAGUAGCUGGCCUGAGAGGACGUGCAGCGACCCUGGGACUGGGACGCGGCCCAGACUCCUACGGGAGGCAGCAGUGGGGAAUUUUGGACAAUGGGGGCAACCCUGAUCCAGCAAUGCCGCGUGAGUGAAGAAGGCCUUCAGGUUGUAAAGCUCUUUUGUCAGGGAAGAAACACCGGCUCUAACACAGUCCGGGAAUGACGGUACCUGAAGAAUAAGCACCGGCUAACUACGUGCCAGCCGCCGCAGUAA
Molecule: ribosomal RNA, 501 nt
Filed under: uncultured bacterium
Lineage: Bacteria
Description: partial 16S ribosomal RNA
Rfam family: Bacterial small subunit ribosomal RNA
Source: RNAcentral